RNAcentral lists this ribosomal RNA (397 nucleotides) under uncultured bacterium. RNAcentral describes it as "partial 16S ribosomal RNA". It matches the Rfam family "Bacterial small subunit ribosomal RNA", at positions 523 to 918 of the family's 1533-position model. The record is from RNAcentral.
AUACGUAGGUGGCAAGCGUUGUCCGGAUUUAUUGGGCGUAAAGCGAGCGCAGGCGGUUUCUUAAGUCUGAUGUGAAAGCCCCCGGCUCAACCGGGGAGGGUCAUUGGAAACUGGGAGACUUGAGUGCAGAAGAGGAGAGUGGAAUUCCAUGUGUAGCGGUGAAAUGCGUAGAUAUAUGGAGGAACACCAGUGGCGAGGGCGACUCUCUGGUCUGUAACUGACGCUGAGGCUCGAAAGCGUGGGGAGCAAACAGGAUUAGAUACCCUGGUAGUCCACGCCGUAAACGAUGAGUGCUAAGUGUUGGAGGGUUUCCGCCCUUCAGUGCUGCAGCUAACGCAUUAAGCACUCCGCCUGGGGAGUACGCCGGCAACGGUGAAACUCAAAGGAAUCGGCGGGG